CCGCAGAGCCCCGCGGAGGCGGCCCCGCCCAUGGCGCAGCGCGCGGUGCCCCCUGGCGCCACUCGGGUGCGGUGUGGGAUAGCUGGGGAGGCAGCGGGCGGUUGGGCAAGAGGAGAAGCCACUCCACGUGCAGCUGCUGUAGUCACUUGCCUUGAUAGUAUGGAGAAAGCUCCCUCAUUUCCUCUGCCAGUCAUUCCAGGUGACAUAAUACCCAGCAAAGGAAGAGGAUUUGGUGUCCAGCUCUACUAAGAAGCCACAGGAGAACAGAAGCUCUGCUUUUGUAAGUUGGACGUUUUAGACUUUCCUGAAAACUGGCUUUGAAGAGUAG
Molecule: long non-coding RNA, 328 nt
Filed under: Ictidomys tridecemlineatus (thirteen-lined ground squirrel)
Lineage: Eukaryota; Metazoa; Chordata; Mammalia; Rodentia; Sciuridae
Description: lncRNA (ENSSTOG00000029765.1)
Source: RNAcentral